Molecule: RNA transcript, 3504 nt
Organism: Solanum tuberosum (potato)
Lineage: Eukaryota; Viridiplantae; Streptophyta; Magnoliopsida; Solanales; Solanaceae
Exons: 7
Source: RefSeq, a predicted model, not a curated record
UACUAGAUUGUGGGGUUUGUUUUGUGCUUCAAUUUCGGACUUUCUUCUCUUUUUGAGUUUUGUUUUAUUGUUCUUUUAGUUAUGCUGAAACCUGAAUGGAAGUAAAUUGCCACAAUUAGGGAAAGCCUUGUGCUUUUUUCGAGUUUCUGUAGUAAAUGAUGAUAAAUAUAUUACUGAAAGUUGAUUUUAUAACUAGAUUGCCCGUUUGUUUUGUCCUUCAAGUUUUGAUUUUUCUUCUGUGUUUGAAUUUUAUUUUCUUGCUCUUUUAGUUCUGAAACCUGAAUCAAAGUAAGUAGCCACAAUUAGAGAAAGCUUUGUACCUUUUUGGAGUUUUUGUAGAUAAAUAGUGAUAAAUAUAUUUCUGAAAGUAGUUUUUAUUGGACUUUAGUGGUUUGCUGUGAUAAAAAUUGCAUCUCUAAGGAUUUCGAACAAUUAGAUCCAAAAGAGGAAAAGAAAAAAAGGGAUUUCAACUGUUAGUUAUUGUUUUUGUCCUUUUUUCUUUUCUUAAUAUAAAUUGCUAAGCUGUGAGAUUUAAAUUUCGAGUUCAUAUGUUUCUUUUUAGAGUACUACGAUGAACUUUAUAGAUUGGAUCAUCAUAACACAUACACACUGUGGUGGUUUAAGUAAUAUUCUUUUACAGUUAUUGCUUGGUCAUUGUCAAUGGGAGGAUUUUGGAGAAAUAGAAGGAAAUGAAAUUGAGGCUCGAAUGGAAAAAGAUGCAGAUCUUAUUGUAAUCCUUGAAAGGAGUAUAGGAAUAUCUACUUAUCAAGGUACGAACGCAUUAAACUUUUUAUCAAUGUAAUUUGGAAAAUAACAUAACAUUAUACAAGCUAUUUAUUACACAAGGUUGUCAUUGUAGAUUAAGUUCAAUUCAACAAUAUAAUAUGAGUCUGAAAUUAGGAUGAACCUUCGCUCUAAUAUCACGUGAAAAUAUGAUUCUGGGCCUAACCCAUAAUAUGAGUCUGAAAAAAGGAUGAACCUUGGCUCUAAUAUCACCUGAAAAUAUGACUCUGGGGCCUAACCCAACCUUAAACGCUAGCUCACAAUGGGAAUUAUCCAAAGAGACUAUCACUCAAUUUCCCGACCAAUGUGAAGCUCUAACCUGUUCUAACGAAGAAAAAUGAUCAAGAAACCGGCAACAUAGAUCUCCUAAACUCAUCAUUGCUAAGGACAAAGCAAACAAAUGAUUGGAAUUUCAGAAUGGUAGCUUACAGUAAGAGAAAAGUUCCAUUAGGUGUUAGUUUCUCAUAAAUCCAUUCGAGAGCCAAUUCUAGCAGUAAUAGGAGUUGUUCAACUUCACCUGCAUUAAUGAAACAUCAAGAUUCAGAAAGAAGCUCCAAUGAAUCUCAGAAGGAGUACAGGCUUCUGAAAAUUGUCAACCAGGCUUACUUUUAUCCGUUCUCUCUAAAUGGCUUGAAAUUACUCUGUGCAUGAGCUCCUCUUUCGUCAUUACUGACAUUACAUCAUUAUUCUCUAGCUUUAAUUUGUAUUUAAAGAACCUACCGAAUACAUUAUUUUGUGUAACAAUAGGGUAAAAGGAAACAAAAUGAUGUCUUUAAGUCCCGCGUCAGCAAAAACCUCAACCAACUCAUCUGCCCCUCUCAUGGUGGUGAUAGCUGUAGGGCAACAAGUUAUCCCUAUGGCAGAAAUUUUAUCACCAGCUUCUCUAAGACAUACUUUGAGCUGAUCAUUUGAGAGUAUGCUUAUUAAUUUUUGGUGUAUAGAUUAAUUUUACUUAACAAGGUCUUGCUGCUUGAAUUAGGUUUUUUGAAUUUACUUAUGAAAGACGUAUGAGUUUUAACUUCAAGUUCUAUUGAUUUUGACUUAAUGAUAUCUUUAUAUUUUUAAAUAUAUUUUCGAUUAUCUUAUUCUACUUGUGAGUUUCAUUUUUUGGGGGGUAUUUGAGUGACCCAUAAUUUUGUGCAUGACUCGGGUUGUCUAGCUUUGGCUAAACCAAAGAAAUAACUUAAAUUUAUUCAAGAGUAAUUUGAGACAUUUUGUGUAUGUGAUUACUGAUGUAUACAAUAUGUAUGUAUUAUAUAUGUGAUUUUUAUUUUUCCGACAGAUGGAACUCUUCUAUGUUGAGGAAAGGAAUGUCAAUAUCAAAUGAGCUGCAAGAGUUUUGUGUGCGUGAAUGCUCAUGCUGCAAACACAAGAAGUGCACAAAGGAUAAAAAGGAUUUUGAAUACCCAAAAUGUAAUCGGAAGACAACGCGCAUCUUUGAAAUUGAUCUUAUUGAUGGCAUUGCUUCGGCCACAACAUCCAUUUCUGGUGUAUUGGGAGAAAAAUUAUUCUCCGUGACUGCAGAAAACAUAUUUGACAUAACUUGCAUUAAGAAGCAAUUGUUGCAUGUUAACAAUGUCCAUAAGAUGUUGUCGAAUAAACUAUUUCAAAUUCAGCUAAGGAAGUCAUCUUUGGGCAGCUCAAAUACCACACAUACAACUUUGUCAGUUCUUUCCUACGUUCAAAAGGAACAGACUCUUACGCCCAGCACUACUGAGAGGGAUUCCAAAAAGAUCAAGCCUCUAGGAAUCAGUGAGGUGAGAAGCAGGAAACAACUACUGCAUCUGGUUUCUCACAUGAGAAGCUGAAAUUUGAACCAUCCACAUUAACAAAAAAGGUGUAAAAGGUGAAGGAGAAAAGUCGAAAGAGAACAGGACAUAUAAUCGUUAUUUAUGGAAGUUGGAUACAAGAUUUGAUGUUGGACUUAAUUAAUGUGUAGAAUGGCAGUUAAGAUGUUGGUAUGCUGCCAUCAUCAAUUGUAUUGAUUCAUCUAGAUGAUUAGUACAAGGUAAUUUCCUGUGAAGAUUCUGUUAGUGUAUUACGGAUAAGGCGGCACAAUGGAUAUUUUAUCUUUCCGUUUCUUCUCUUCUUCUGACAGUUGUUGCUCCGUGUAUUAGUUAUGGUUUCAGGUAAAUGAAUUGUGGCAGGCAUUUGCUAAUUCAGUUUUCUCUUAGACUAUUUAAAAAAAAGUAAAUUUGGAAUUAAAGAAAGCAUCUCUCUGUUUUGUUAUAUUACUAUCGAUUACAUAUGUAUUAAUAAGCUUGCUGCCGCACCUUCUUUCUUGGCUUGGUUUGGAUGGAUGCAAAACUCCAUAUUGAAAUAAAUAUUGUGAGAUCUUAACAUCUCUGGCUUCCACCUUCUGCAAUUCAAUCAAGAUGUGAUCAGACCAAUCACUACUUACCAUCGCACAUCCUCUGUUGAAAAUUGAAAUUUUAAAAUCAAAGGACAAACAAGUUCCCAGUUUGUUCAUCCAAAAGUACAUGAUGAAGACUUUCAAUCUUUCUUACGAAAAUGAGCUGGCAGAAAUUGUCAACCAAGGAAAAUUGGUCUCAGAAACUCGAUUCAUGUCAUAUGGAGAUAGACGAGCAAGGACUGAGGCUGGAGUUACUUCAGCGCUGCUUGAAUCGACCCUUCUAGGUGGGCAUCGAAAAUCUUGGAAUGCUUGAGAGUAGACAAAGCAUCAUUCCUUCGACGUGCAGGUAAUGUAGAGAAUAAGAGAAA